This 503-nucleotide ribosomal RNA is filed under the name uncultured bacterium. Its description in RNAcentral is "partial 16S ribosomal RNA". It matches the Rfam family "Bacterial small subunit ribosomal RNA", at positions 28 to 507 of the family's 1533-position model. The record is from RNAcentral.
GACGAACGCUGGCGGCGUGCUUAACACAUGCAAGUCGAACGGUGAAGCGCUUUCCUUUUUGGUUGGUGUGGAUGAGUGGCGAACGGGUGAGUAACACGUGAGUAACCUGCCCCCUUCUUCUGGAUAACCGCAUGAAAGUGUGGCUAAUACGGGAUAUUCUGCGCCUGCUGCAUGGUGGGUGUGGGAAAGAUUGUGCCUUUGGGUGUUUUCGGUGGGGGAUGGGCUCGCGGCCUAUCAGCUUGUUGGUGGGGUGAUGGCCUACCAAGGCGGUGACGGGUAGCCGGCCUGAGAGGGUGGACGGUCACACUGGGACUGAGACACGGCCCAGACUCCUACGGGAGGCAGCAGUGGGGAAUAUUGCACAAUGGGCGCAAGCCUGAUGCAGCGACGCCGCGUGAGGGAUGGAGGCCUUCGGGGUGUGAACCUCUUUCGCCAGUGAAGCAGGCCUGCUCCUUGUGGGUGGGUUGACGGUAGCUGGAUAAGAAGCGCCGGCUAACUACGUG